UACGAAGGGGGCUAGCGUUGUUCGGAAUCACUGGGCGUCAAGCGCACGUAGGCGGAUGGUUAAGUCAGAGGUGAAAGCCUGGAGCUCAACUCCAGAACUGCCUUUGAUACUGGCCAUCUCGAGUCCGGAAGAGGUAAGUGGAACUGCGAGUGUAGAGGUGAAAUUCGUAGAUAUUCGCAAGAACACCAGUGGCGAAGGCGGCUUACUGGUCCGGUACUGACGCUGAGGUGCGAAAGCGUGGGGAGCAAACAGG
RNAcentral lists this ribosomal RNA (253 nucleotides) under uncultured bacterium. RNAcentral describes it as "partial 16S ribosomal RNA". It matches the Rfam family "Bacterial small subunit ribosomal RNA", at positions 524 to 776 of the family's 1533-position model. The record is from RNAcentral.